AUUGAACGCUGGCGGCAGGCCUAACACAUGCAAGUCGAACGGUAGCACAGAGAGCUUGCUCUCGGGUGACGAGUGGCGGACGGGUGAGUAACGUCUGGGAAACUGCCCGAUGGAGGGGGAUAACUACUGGAAACGGUAGCUAAUACUGCAUAACGUCGCAAGACCAAAGUGGGGGACCUUCGGGCCUCACACCAUCGGAUGUGCCCAGAUGGGAUUAGCUAGUAGGUGGGGUAAUGGCUCACCUAGGCGACGAUCCCUAGCUGGUCUGAGAGGAUGACCAGCCACACUGGAACUGAGACACGGUCCAGACUCCUACAGGAGGCAGCAGUGGGGAAUAUUGCACAAUGGGCGCAAGCCUGAUGCAGCCAUGCCGCGUGUAUGAAGAAGGCCUUCGGGUUGUAAAGUACUUUCAGCGGGGAGGAAGGCGGUGAAGUUAAUAACUUCAUUGAUUGACGUUACCCGCAGAAUAAGCACCGGCUAACUCUGUGCCAGCCGCCGCUGUAA
This 504-nucleotide ribosomal RNA is filed under the name uncultured bacterium. RNAcentral describes it as "partial 16S ribosomal RNA". It matches the Rfam family "Bacterial small subunit ribosomal RNA", at positions 30 to 523 of the family's 1533-position model. The record is from RNAcentral.